RNAcentral lists this non-coding RNA (219 nucleotides) under Schistosoma margrebowiei. Its description in RNAcentral is "Eukaryotic small subunit ribosomal RNA". It matches the Rfam family "Eukaryotic small subunit ribosomal RNA", at positions 1286 to 1465 of the family's 1831-position model. The record is from Rfam by way of RNAcentral. Lineage: Eukaryota; Metazoa; Platyhelminthes; Trematoda; Strigeidida; Schistosomatidae.
GGUUGUUCUUAGUUGGGUGAAACGAUUUGUCUAGUUAAUUCCGAUAAUAAAUAAACUUUAACUUGUUAAAUAGUAGACUGAUCCUCCGUGCUCGUUUACAGCGCGGAUUCUUUAUGAAGUAGUGUGGUCGUGAUCCGGUGGGUAAGAUGCCGGUUUUUACUUGUUAGAGGGACAAGAAGCACAUCCAUGUUCCACGAAAUUGAGCAAUAACAUGUCUGU